RNAcentral lists this ribosomal RNA (301 nucleotides) under uncultured bacterium. RNAcentral describes it as "partial 16S ribosomal RNA". It matches the Rfam family "Bacterial small subunit ribosomal RNA", at positions 509 to 807 of the family's 1533-position model. The record is from RNAcentral.
CAGUAGCCGCGGUAAUACAGAGGGUGCGAGCGUUAAUCGGAUUUACUGGGCGUAAAGCGUGCGUAGGCGGCUUUUUAAGUCGGAUGUGAAAUCCCUGAGCUUAACUUGGGAAUUGCAUUCGAUACUGGUUAGCUAGAGUGUGGGAGAGGAUGGUAGAAUUCCAGGUGUAGCGGUGAAAUGCGUAGAGAUCUGGAGGAAUACCGAUGGCGAAGGCAGCCAUCUGGCCUAACACUGACGCUGAGGUACGAAAGCAUGGGGAGCAAACAGGAUUAGAUACCCCAGUAGUCCCUGUCUCUUAUAC